GGCCGAUGAUUUGUACAAUAUUUGCUACUCUUGAUAGAAAUUGAAAUAUAUUUCUAUAUGAUGAUAUUUUUCCACCAAGAUCUAUGAGGCC
Andrographis paniculata is the source of this 91-nucleotide small nucleolar RNA. RefSeq annotates it as small nucleolar RNA SNORD24. The record is from RefSeq and is a predicted model, not a curated record. The transcript has a single exon. NCBI's taxonomy places the organism in Eukaryota, Viridiplantae, Streptophyta, Magnoliopsida, Lamiales, Acanthaceae.